Long non-coding RNA from Sciurus carolinensis (gray squirrel), 823 nucleotides. RefSeq lists it as uncharacterized. The record is from RefSeq and is a predicted model, not a curated record. NCBI's taxonomy places the organism in Eukaryota, Metazoa, Chordata, Mammalia, Rodentia, Sciuridae. The transcript is spliced from 3 exons.
ACCACCCGUGUCACGUUUGGAUGUGUUAGAUAAAUGUAUUUUUUCAUUUAAAGUGAGGACAUCAAGUUCCACUUAAAGUACAUUUAAGUAAAAAGGCGAGUCGUUUUAACAGGGUCAGGGAAUGAGUCCCCCGCGUAUGACCGUGGUUCCGGAAGGGUGGACAUGUGGAAGCACUAACCACCAAACGCUCUAACUGAAACUCCACUCCCAUUCCACAACAACUCCUGCUCCUCUCUCCCAGCCUCCAGCCCUGUCAAUGAUCUCACUUCAACUCUUGACUGUCGGCUCUCCAUUCCUCGAAAGGAGUGGAGGCUGGUGCGUGCCACAAGGUGGAGGCCCCUUGAAAGAACGCUAGUGAAAAGAGCCAGUCACGUGUCCUAAGACCCCAUUACAUGAUGGUCCCGAAGAGACAAAUCCACAGAGGCGGAAGCAGAUUGGAGAAGGAGACAGAAUGCGAGCCACUGCCAACUGAGCAUGAGGCUUCAUUUCCAGCUGGUGAGAAUGUUCUGGAACCAUAUCAGUCACUGCCCAGAACUGCACACUUCAAGAUAACUAACAUGGUCGCUUUAAUUAAAUGGUUAAUUUAAGUUCACCACAGUAAAAAAUGGAAUAAAAACUCAAGGGAUUAAAGUAGGUGAUACCCCAAAACACCCGGCUGGAAAGAGCUGAUAUUAUCAGGACUGUCGCUAAGAGUCUCGGGUCCAGGGUGCUGGGCGGCGCUGGCUGGAGGGGGUUGGGCUUUGUUUUUAAUCCAUUCUCUGUGGGGGACCCAGGGCUGGUGCCAGGCCCCGCCCAGGCUGCACGGGAGGGUGGGGCCGCCUCC